This 436-nucleotide long non-coding RNA is filed under the name Vigna radiata. RNAcentral describes it as "long non-coding RNA (VRAD_LNC006129)". Lineage: Eukaryota; Viridiplantae; Streptophyta; Magnoliopsida; Fabales; Fabaceae. The record is from RNAcentral.
AAAUGGGUAAAUUCAAGUAUUAUUUCCCAAAGGACUCUUAGGCCUUAACUUUCGUGUAACCUAAUUGCGUAAGACUUGAGAAGAAAUUUAAUUUUAAGUUUUUAAAUGAAAAAACAAAAGUAAACAUGCAAAUGCAAUGAAUCAAUGGUUGAGGAAAAACUAUGGAUGAAUGGUGUUGUUGGGGUUUACAAUUUCAUCUUAUCCACCCUCAUAUAUCUACUCUUCUUAUUUAAUUUGCUUAUUUAUCAUAUUGCCAUGCAAACUUUCUUGGUCUACCCUUAACCCAAUCCCUUGGCGAAAAGAGCCUAUUAUUAAUUACCGACUUGCUAUCUCUAGCCUCCCCUAGUAACUAAUAAUGCAUAAUAAACGGAAGCAAAAUACAAUUAAUUGUCCUACCCCUAUCUCUAGGCGGUAUUAGCAUAAUCAAGGAAUUCCC